UGGGGAAUAUUGCACAAUGGGCGAAAGCCUGAUGCAGCAACGCCGCGUGAGGGACGACGGCCUUCGGGUUGUAAACCUCUUUUAGCAAGGAAGAAGCGAAAGUGACGGUACUUGCAGAAAAAGCGCCGGCUAACUACGUGCCAGCAGCCGCGGUAAUACGUAGGGCGCAAGCGUUAUCCGGAAUUAUUGGGCGUAAAGAGCUCGUAGGCGGUUUGUCGCGUCUGCUGUGAAAACCCGAGGCUCAACCUCGGGCCUGCAGUGGGUACGGGCAGACUAGAGUGCGGUAGGGGAGAUUGGAACUCCUGGUGUAGCGGUGGAAUGCGCAGAUAUCAGGAAGAACACCGAUGGCGAAGGCAGAUCUCUGGGCCGUAACUGACGCUGAGGAGCGAAAGGGUGGGGAGCAAAACAGGCUUAGAUACCCUGGUAGUCCACCCCGUAAACGUUGGGAACUAGUUGUGGGGUCCAUUCCACGGAUUCCGUGACGCAGCUAACGCAUUAAGUUCCCCGCCU
RNAcentral lists this ribosomal RNA (510 nucleotides) under uncultured bacterium. RNAcentral describes it as "partial 16S ribosomal RNA". It matches the Rfam family "Bacterial small subunit ribosomal RNA", at positions 355 to 874 of the family's 1533-position model. The record is from RNAcentral.